AUCCUUUUGUAGUUCUUAAGUGUGAUGAUUGGGUUUUCACAGUCACGUGUGACAUGUGCCUCCCUCAAACCUUGUUCCCCCAUUUAAGGGGGUGAAA
Molecule: small nucleolar RNA, 97 nt
Organism: Callithrix jacchus (white-tufted-ear marmoset)
Lineage: Eukaryota; Metazoa; Chordata; Mammalia; Primates; Cebidae
Source: Ensembl